This 1372-nucleotide ribosomal RNA is filed under the name uncultured bacterium. RNAcentral describes it as "bacterial SSU rRNA". It matches the Rfam family "Bacterial small subunit ribosomal RNA", at positions 29 to 1393 of the family's 1533-position model. The record is from RNAcentral.
UUGAACGCUGGCGGCAGGCCUAACACAUGCAAGUCGAGCGGUAGCACAGAGAGCUUGCUCUCGGGUGACGAGCGGCGGACGGGUGAGUAAUGUCUGGGAAACUGCCUGAUGGAGGGGGAUAACUACUGGAAACGGUAGCUAAUACCGCAUAAUGUCGCAAGACCAAAGUGGGGGACCUUCGGGCCUCAUGCCAUCAGAUGUGCCCAGAUGGGAUUAGCUGGUAGGUGGGGUAACGGCUCACCUAGGCGACGAUCCCUAGCUGGUCUGAGAGGAUGACCAGCCACACUGGAACUGAGACACGGUCCAGACUCCUACGGGAGGCAGCAGUGGGGAAUAUUGCACAAUGGGCGCAAGCCUGAUGCAGCCAUGCCGCGUGUGUGAAGAAGGCCUUCGGGUUGUAAAGCACUUUCAGCGGGGAGGAAGGCGGUGAGGUUAAUAACCUCACCGAUUGACGUUACCCGCAGAAGAAGCACCGGCUAACUCCGUGCCAGCAGCCGCGGUAAUACGGAGGGUGCAAGCGUUAAUCGGAAUUACUGGGCGUAAAGCGCACGCAGGCGGUCUGUCAAGUCGGAUGUGAAAUCCCCGGGCUCAACCUGGGAACUGCAUUCGAAACUGGCAGGCUAGAGUCUUGUAGAGGGGGGUAGAAUUCCAGGUGUAGCGGUGAAAUGCGUAGAGAUCUGGAGGAAUACCGGUGGCGAAGGCGGCCCCCUGGACAAAGACUGACGCUCAGGUGCGAAAGCGUGGGGAGCAAACAGGAUUAGAUACCCUGGUAGUCCACGCUGUAAACGAUGUCGAUUUGGAGGUUGUGCCCUUGAGGCGUGGCUUCCGGAGCUAACGCGUUAAAUCGACCGCCUGGGGAGUACGGCCGCAAGGUUAAAACUCAAAUGAAUUGACGGGGGCCCGCACAAGCGGUGGAGCAUGUGGUUUAAUUCGAUGCAACGCGAAGAACCUUACCUGGUCUUGACAUCCACAGAACUUAGCAGAGAUGCUUUGGUGCCUUCGGGAACUGUGAGACAGGUGCUGCAUGGCUGUCGUCAGCUCGUGUUGUGAAAUGUUGGGUUAAGUCCCGCAACGAGCGCAACCCUUAUCCUUUGUUGCCAGCGGUCCGGCCGGGAACUCAAAGGAGACUGCCAGUGAUAAACUGGAGGAAGGUGGGGAUGACGUCAAGUCAUCAUGGCCCUUACGACCAGGGCUACACACGUGCUACAAUGGCAUAUACAAAGAGAAGCGACCUCGCGAGAGCAAGCGGACCUCAUAAAGUAUGUCGUAGUCCGGAUUGGAGUCUGCAACUCGACUCCAUGAAGUCGGAAUCGCUAGUAAUCGUAGAUCAGAAUGCUACGGUGAAUACGUUCCCGGGCCUUGUACACACCGC